GAUGAACGCUGGCGGCGUGCCUAACACAUGCAAGUCGAGCGAGAAGUAAAGAAAUGAAGCUUCGUUAGAUUUUCAUUAUGGAAAGCGGCGGACGGGUGAGUAACGCGUAGGCAACCUGCCCUGUACAGGGGGAUAGCCACCCGAAAAGGUGAUUAAUACCCCAUGAUGCAAGAGAUACACAUGUAUCACUUGUCAAAGAUUUAUCGGUAUGGGAUGGGCCUGCGUCUGAUUAGCUAGUUGGUAGGGUAACGGCUUACCAAGGCAACGAUCAGUAGCCGACCUGAGAGGGUGAUCGGCCACAUUGGAACUGAGACACGGUCCAAACUCCUACGGGAGGCAGCAGUGGGGAAUAUUGCACAAUGGGGGAAACCCUGAUGCAGCAACGCCGCGUGAAGGAAGAAGGCCUUCGGGUUGUAAACUUCUGUCCUAGGAGAAGAAACAAAUGACAUUACCCUUGGAGGAAGC
This 465-nucleotide ribosomal RNA is filed under the name [Eubacterium] infirmum. RNAcentral's name for it is "bacterial SSU rRNA". It matches the Rfam family "Bacterial small subunit ribosomal RNA", at positions 28 to 491 of the family's 1533-position model. The record is from RNAcentral. Lineage: Bacteria; Bacillati; Bacillota; Clostridia; Peptostreptococcales; Anaerovoracaceae.